UCAUUACUGAAUUGUCAACAAGAGUUGUUGCUGGUCCCCAGAUGGGGGCAUGUGCACGCUCUGUUAACACAUCCACUCACACCCUGUGCACCCUCUGCAGUUCUAUGGUUGGGGGGGACCUGUCCUCUCCUGCUGUGGUUCUGCAUCUUUACAUACACACUGUAACAAAGUCUCAUGGAAUGUAUGCCGCGUUUAACGCAAUAAAAUACAACUUUCAGCAACGGAUCUCUUGGCUCUCGCAUCGAUGAAGAACGCAGCGAAAUGCGAUAAGUAAUGUGAAUUGCAGAAUUCAGUGAAUCAUCGAAUCUUUGAACGCACCUUGCGCCCUUUGGCAUUCCGAAGGGCAUGCCUGUUUGAGUAUCAUGAACACCUCAACUCUUCAUGGUUUUCUGUGAUGAGCUUGGACUUUGGGGGUCUUGCUGGCCUACAGGUCAGCUCCUCUCAAACGAAUCAGCUUGCCAGUGUUUGGUGGGCAUCACAGGUGUGAUAACUAUCUACGCCUUGUGAUUUUCCACCAGGUAACCCUUCAGCAAUGGAGGUUCGCUGGAGCUCACAGACGUCUCUCCUCAGUGAGGACGGCCCUUUGAAUGUUUGAUCUC
This 599-nucleotide ribosomal RNA is filed under the name uncultured fungus from ectomycorrhizal root. RNAcentral describes it as "eukaryotic LSU rRNA". The stretch from base 210 to 363 matches the Rfam family "5.8S ribosomal RNA". Lineage: Eukaryota; Fungi. The record is from RNAcentral.